Molecule: ribosomal RNA, 524 nt
Filed under: uncultured bacterium
Lineage: Bacteria
Description: bacterial SSU rRNA
Rfam family: Bacterial small subunit ribosomal RNA
Source: RNAcentral
UGGGGAAUAUUGGNCAAUGGACCAAAAGUCUGAUCCAGCAAUUCUGUGUGCACGAUGACGUUUUUCGGAAUGUAAAGUGCUUUCAGUUGGGAAGAAAAAAAUGACGGUACCAACAGAAGAAGUGACGGCUAAAUACGUGCCAGCAGCCGCGGUAAUACGUAUGUCACAAGCGUUAUCCGGAUUUAUUGGGCGUAAAGCGCGUCUAGGUGGUUAUGUAAGUCUGAUGUGAAAAUGCAGGGCUCAACUCUGUAUUGCGUUGGAAACUGCAUGACUAGAGUACUGGAGAGGUAAGCGGAACUACAAGUGUAGAGGUGAAAUUCGUAGAUAUUUGUAGGAAUGCCGAUGGGGAAGCCAGCUUACUGGACAGAUACUGACGCUAAAGCGCGAAAGCGUGGGUAGCAAACAGGAUUAGAUACCCUGGUAGUCCACGCCGUAAACGAUGAUUACUAGGUGUUGGGGGUCGAACCUCAGCGCCCAAGCUAACGCGAUAAGUAAUCCGCCUGGGGAGUACGUACGCAAGUAUG